ACCACAGCUGCUGCCAGCCCUUCUGCAACUCCAUCCGGAGAUGCCCCAGGGAACAGCCGGAACUCUCCCAAAGGCUGAUUUUACACCACUUGGGAAAGAUGUCUUCUAUUCUGAGAUGGGAGUGGAGGAUAAGUUUGGUAUAAAUUCACCAAGUACAUAGACUGUUCGUCACCAGGAAGAAGGUGUGACAUAAUAGCAGGAAAAACAAAUGGUCACCAACUUUAUGGGGAAGGUAAAAGUGCUGUCUUGAACAGAGAGUGUCCAUAUGCCAUUUACAGUGUCAAAAGGAAUACAAGAAUUGGAAAAUUUUGCAUCUAUGCCAGAAGCUAGAUAAGGACAUGAAGAAAUGUCUCUAUUCAUAGAAAGGACACUUUAUGAAAGACACCAAGGGAUAACUUACUGAGAAAGUGAUAUGGCCUUGAAAAAGAAAAAAAUAUAGAGGAAAUUUGAGAGGCAUUUUAAUAAUAUCCUAAAAUAGGACAGUGCGGCACCUUCCUUUUGAAGUUCCUACAGAGCCUCAGGGAAGC
Molecule: long non-coding RNA, 527 nt
Filed under: Heterocephalus glaber (naked mole-rat)
Lineage: Eukaryota; Metazoa; Chordata; Mammalia; Rodentia; Bathyergidae
Description: lncRNA (ENSHGLG00000035321.1)
Source: RNAcentral